This 71-nucleotide transfer RNA is filed under the name Gobius niger (black goby). RNAcentral describes it as "tRNA-Val". It matches the Rfam family "tRNA". From Rfam's summary of the family: Transfer RNA (tRNA) molecules are approximately 80 nucleotides in length. Lineage: Eukaryota; Metazoa; Chordata; Actinopteri; Gobiiformes; Gobiidae. The record is from RNAcentral.
CAGAGUGUAGUUAAAUAGUACAACCCCUCCCUUACACUGAGAAGACGCUCGUGCAAGUCGAGCCACCCUGA